GAAAUAGUUUGCUAUUUUGGGAUAGUCAGAAAUAAAAUUAUGUUUAGAUUGUAACGCUGGUAUUUUUAGGAAUAAUUAAAAUUGUAUUUGGUUAAUUUUACGGAAUAGUAGAGAACAGUAGAAAACAAUAAUCGUUGCAUUUGAUAUAAAAUAUAAUUUUAAUAAAAAUAACUCAUUAUAAUAUUGAAUAAAACUAAUUUAUUAAAAAAUUAUGAUUUAAUAAAAAUAAUUUUUAUAUAUAUAAUUUUUAAAAAAUUCUACUUAAACUUAAAUUUAAUAAAAAAUAAUGUAUUAUAAUAUUUAAAUAUAAAUAAUAUGUAGCAAUAUAGUAUAAUUAAUAAUUUUAUAAUAAAAAUAAUAUAUUAUUAAUUAUAAUAUAUAGCAUAUUAUAUAUAUCUAUAUAAUUUAGUUUUAAUUCAAUUUAUAAUUUAAAUAAAGUUUGAAAUUAAAGCUUGGAAUAGCACUCUUCCGCCAAAAUGGUAGAAUUGCAAAUCCCAAACUAUUCCGGAAUAGCUGGGAAUAGUAAGGUUUGACUGGGAUAAAAUAUUCCGGCCAAAAAACAUCUCGUUUGGCGGAAUAGUGGGGAUAACUUUCGUUAUCUCAACUUUAUCCCCAAACCAAACUGGACAGUCAUUCUAGAAAUUAUAGUUAAGUGUUGUGUUGGCUUAAAUGGGCCAGCAUUCUGUCAUGUGGCGGAGGGCCGGGUUGGGCCGAGUCACGUUCGAAAUGACGUGAUGCUGGAUAGGCCGAGUUAUAUAUGUUUGAAGUGGCAUGAGGCCGGGUGAGCUAAGUCACAAUUAAGAUCUGUGAGCGCUGUAUCUGUACGCUUUAAGUGAAUUGGUUGCGUAUUUCUAACAGCUCGAGCUUUUUGAAUUAAUGGUCAGCGCCAACGAUCCGACAUGUUGGACAAAUUAUUUUUAUUGGGGCAGAAAGAUGAAUUACGCCUUUGGCGUAAAACCAGAAGCUGUAAUUUGCAGCUUUUUAAUGUUAUAGUAUAUU
RNAcentral lists this long non-coding RNA (999 nucleotides) under Ananas comosus (pineapple). RNAcentral describes it as "long non-coding RNA (ACOM_LNC017234)". Lineage: Eukaryota; Viridiplantae; Streptophyta; Magnoliopsida; Poales; Bromeliaceae. The record is from RNAcentral.